UGGUAGGUGGAGAGGCCCAAUGUAGCCU
This 28-nucleotide non-coding RNA is filed under the name Homo sapiens (human). Lineage: Eukaryota; Metazoa; Chordata; Mammalia; Primates; Hominidae. The record is from RNAcentral.